CAACACAGCUACAACUGCCAUAAAGCAAGACAGCAAGCAGCAAACAGUGCAGAAACUCAAAACUGCACAUUGUAAACUACCUAGAUUGUCUAGCCUGGCCUCCUACAUAACUCCGAUCAAGGAAUCCUCUGCUGAACCUAAUAGCUUAUGAUGGGCUAUCAAGACUAAUAGGGCAUGCAGUCUUCAUGUGAUAAUGCCUAAAGAUGGCACAUUCACCUUUUAUCUUGAUGGUCUGUUAACUUUGUUCUCUCACCCCACUGUUUCUUGAAUCCUUCCCAUUUUCCCUUGGCUGCUAUUACUUCUGGGAGACCAGACUUUAGUCUAUGUUCCAGAAUUGGCAGAGGCUUUUAACUCUGCAUUUUAGUUUGGUUUUGCAGAGGCUUCAGUUUGUACUACGUUAACUCUUCAUUUGCUGGUUCUUGGAGUUUGAAUUUUGCCUUUUCCCGUAUUCUGGACCAACACAAGGCUCUCCUGAGUAACUGACCCUGCAGUAAUGAAGUUCUGGACGUAUGUUACAAUUUUUUUGCUUCAGGAAAUACUGUUGCACCAUUGUAUCAGCAAUCCAGCAAACAUCCAUGGGGAGAUCUUACAAGAGGACAAGAGUCUUCUGUGCUUUUUCAGGACAAGAUAGGAAUCUCUUUGAAGUUUUCAAACAUGCUCCAGGCAUAUUUUCAGAGAAUCAUCAUGAAUCUGCUCUUCAUCAACACUUCCCCGAUCAAUUAUGUACAUUCUAUCAGCCUCCAUUGGUCUGGGAGUGCAGAGAGAUGGGGGAAGGGGAGCUGGCAAGGCUUGGCUGGCAACACACUAAUCAAGGAACAGAUUGCCUUUUAAUUCUUCACGUAAGUUAAACACAUUACGUUCUCCGUAAGAAUUAGGGGAGAGGUGUAUUCAGCAUACGCCGUGAUAGAACAAAGUAUUGCAGCAUAAUGUGGGAGAUUUGGUAAAUAUUCUGUCAAAUUCUGUGCAGGUAUAGUUAAUAGCCAUAUUUUUUAUUCUUAGUAGCUUUAUUCCUUGGAGUAAGAUACUGUAUCAAAAUAGAGAUGAAAGUACUCAAACCAGAAACUAUGACAGAAAAACAAAUUGUGCACAUUUUGGCUAAAAUCCCUGAUGUAAUUCUACAGGCAAAAGAAACUGUGCCCAGAUUUUCCUGAAAUUCCCCACUGAAUCCCACAGUUUGUGCUAAUGAGAUGAGCACCCCAGUGCAUUCCUUCCCUGAGGAGAUGUGGGUGCACAUCUUAUGCUCUCCUGGUCUGCCCCUGCCUACCAAGAGAAUGAGGCUGUGGCUCCACAUAGGUUUCCUUAGUAACAACGCUGGCUUAAGCAGCUCUAGGCCCUCAGUCUUCCUUGCGUGGGGCUAGUUACCCCUACUCAUGUUGGACGGGCAUAGGCAUUUGUAUAGCCAUCACAACCAGACUGGAGGACUGAUAUGGGUGAAAAAUAACUUUUUUCCCCACCUGUGUUAUUGGAGAGGCAGAAAUGAGUUGGGGGUGCAGAGAGGUAGGGAUUGUGUAAGCUAGCAAUGCUGCUUAAAGAAAUGCUUGGUUUAAGUGUACCAGCUUUGCCCUGCACACUGGGUUAGAGCAUGUAUGAUGGGAAAUAUCCACUAAACUGAAGAAACUCAUUGACUAUGAAACAGUAUCUGAGCCUCUGGUUCUACAGGCAGCAGAGUGAAACAGGGUUUUUUUACCUACACCUACAAAUGCACAGUUACUUGAAACUCGGAUCAGUUCCUUCAUUCACUUCAGUGACCAGCACCAUUAACAGCUAUGCUGGGUCAGCCAAGGGGACACCUUGAGGGCAGGAACAAGUGGCCAGUACUGGGAACUGCCUACACCAGUACUGCCACUGAGAGAAAUGUCUGAAGAACAACAGCCUCUGAAAUGUUAGGAACCUGAGGCAGCCAACUAAUCCAAUAGGCCUGCUUUUCUUUUGAAGUUAGAGGAACGGUGCCAGCUUUAAAAGUUUUUUUUAUAUAUAUAUUCUGUCUUGAAAAUUGCCUUUACACGCAUUAUUUAAAACAUUACACAUUGGUCCAAAAAGUUUUGUAGUUGCUGCUAUAGGGAAAUGCAGACUUUGUAGAAGCUGAAGGCUUGACUUAGAGUAUAUCGAUGGUUGCAUGUGCUUCUUCUGUUCCUGUUCUUCCUCCAAAUCAGCAAGAGUCUGCCCUUUGAUACCUAAAAAUGUCUGCAGAAAUCUGGGAACUGAUUAGAUGCAGCAUUAGAAAAUUAUGCUGUUAAAGGCAGAUCUUGGAUA
Dromaius novaehollandiae (emu) is the source of this 2253-nucleotide long non-coding RNA. RefSeq lists it as uncharacterized. The record is from RefSeq and is a predicted model, not a curated record. The transcript has 3 exons. Lineage: Eukaryota; Metazoa; Chordata; Aves; Casuariiformes; Dromaiidae.